CAGGUUACACAGCCUCACCUAGUACAUCAAAAAAUGUGCCUAUUCUCUGCAAUUGCCAAGAGUCAGUGGGGCAAGUUUGUCAGGACAGAUACCCCUUAUUUCAUGGAGAUAUAGAUGUUGCAUUAUCAUGGUUAGGAUGACUACUUAUGAGGAUUAUGGCUUCCCUGAGGACAGGCACAAUCUCUGUAUCUUCAGUAUUUUGUAUUUUAACUAGGAGGGGUUUACUACUUAUUUAUGGAGAUUCCACUGAGAACAUAUGCAGUGGUGUAUCUUGGACACGGGCAAGGUUGCUCUACCCUAUGCUUUAAUGGAUUAAAAUAAGAUUGAUAUUGUUUCCCUAAGAAGAAACACCAGUCACCCUCAUGAUCAAGGGCAAGAAGAUUUUCUUUUCACUUUGUUCUUUGGCCUCUGUGGCCAUGAAGACCACAUCUGGCCUCUUCUGCUGUGCUUUCUGGUGCUCCGGCACAUAUUCAAGACACAAUGGGCAUCCAUGACUUCAAAUCUGCUCUUCUCUCAAUUAGAAAGG
RNAcentral lists this long non-coding RNA (526 nucleotides) under Homo sapiens (human). RNAcentral's name for it is "HSALNT0250696". The record is from RNAcentral. Lineage: Eukaryota; Metazoa; Chordata; Mammalia; Primates; Hominidae.